GACAUCCUUGAUGGGUUAUGAGUCCUCUAAGUGGAAAUCAUUAUAAAUCAAGGACCUUUCAACCACUGCGAUAUGUGUCUCUAAAGCAUGAAUUGGAUAUCAUCUUGGCUGGCUAGAUGAUGGAAUCUAAAAUAUCAUAAAAUAUCUUAAAGAUUGUAUGCAAUAAAUAAUAUACAGUGAGGAGCUACAUGUGUUUCUACAUAGUAAAAUUUCAAGUGUGCUGUUUAAAUGUAGUAUGCCAAACAGCAUGCUAGCAUAUAAUAGCUGUAUGCCAAACAAAAAUAAGUGUAUGCCACA
This 297-nucleotide long non-coding RNA is filed under the name Elaeis guineensis (African oil palm). RNAcentral's name for it is "long non-coding RNA (EGUI_LNC010179)". The record is from RNAcentral. Lineage: Eukaryota; Viridiplantae; Streptophyta; Magnoliopsida; Arecales; Arecaceae.